UUGCAAAAAACGCAAUGCUGCCAAAGAAGCAUGGGAGUCAAUCAUUAAGGAACUGGACCUUGGGCAACAUGUGUCUCACAAACAGGCCUCCAAGAAAUGGGAGAACCUAAAAAAGAAAUACAAGGAACUUAAAAGGCCAAGGACUGGAACAGGGACUGAUCAGG
This is a long non-coding RNA of Gymnodraco acuticeps, 164 nucleotides long. RefSeq lists it as uncharacterized. The record is from RefSeq and is a predicted model, not a curated record. NCBI's taxonomy places the organism in Eukaryota, Metazoa, Chordata, Actinopteri, Perciformes, Bathydraconidae. The transcript has 3 exons.